GUGACGCUGCAAUUAUUAGACCAAAUCAAUCGGCUUCGGCUGUUCUUUUGGUGACUCUGAAUAAUUUCACGGAUCGCACGGUCUAGUACCGGCGACAAUCCUAACAAGUAUCUACCCUAUCAACUUCCGAUGGUAGUUUAUGUGACUACCAUGGUUGUAACGGGUAACGGAGAAUUAGGGUUUGACUCCGGAGAGGCAGCCUGAGAAACGGCUACCACUUCCAAGGAAG
Molecule: ribosomal RNA, 229 nt
Filed under: Halomonhystera sp. 7 JAL-2013
Lineage: Eukaryota; Metazoa; Nematoda; Chromadorea; Monhysterida; Monhysteridae
Description: partial 18S ribosomal RNA
Rfam family: Eukaryotic small subunit ribosomal RNA
Source: RNAcentral